This 90-nucleotide transfer RNA is filed under the name Candidatus Berkelbacteria bacterium. RNAcentral's name for it is "tRNA-Ser". It matches the Rfam family "tRNA". Rfam says of the family: Transfer RNA (tRNA) molecules are approximately 80 nucleotides in length. Their secondary structure includes four short double-helical elements and three loops (D, anti-codon, and T loops). Further hydrogen bonds mediate the characteristic L-shaped molecular structure. tRNAs have two regions of fundamental functional importance: the anti-codon, which is responsible for specific mRNA codon recognition, and the 3' end, to which the tRNAs corresponding amino acid is attached (by aminoacyl-tRNA synthetases). tRNAs cope with the degeneracy of the genetic code in two manners: having more than one tRNA (with a specific anti-codon) for a particular amino acid; and 'wobble' base-pairing, i.e. permitting non-standard base-pairing at the 3rd anti-codon position. Lineage: Bacteria; Candidatus Berkelbacteria. The record is from RNAcentral.
GGAGAGGUGCGUGAGCGGUUGAAACGAGCGGUCUUGAAAACCGCCAGGGGUGCAAGCUCCUCGUGGGUUCGAAUCCCACCCUCUCCGCCA